UUUAAUUUUUAUGGUCAAACCAUUGCUUAAAGUCCCUAUCUGAAUUCUCUCUACAAAAUUGAUACUUCCUGAAUCCAAAUUGGCUUACUUUGGUGCUGCUCGGAGAGAUCUUAGUUUUUUUCGUCUUUGUGCUGCUCUCCUCUUCUGCUAGAUGCUUUGAAAUGGGGAAGGAAGGAAACUGAUUUUCCGUCGUGAGAAAGGCUUUUGGUUCGGGUUAAGAAAAAAGAAAGAUAAGAAAGAACACAAAUCUGAAAAAUGAUCUGGAAAGCAACAGAGCAACGAAUUAAAUUCUUCAAAUACAGAAACUGCAUUAGUAGUGAGUCCUGCACCCCUUCUGCCUCCUCCUGUAGAGCAGAUGAAAUUGAUGGAAGCUGAGAAUGAGCAGAACAAGCAUGCCUAUUCAGUAGCUAUUGCCACUGUUGUUGCUGCAGAAGCAGCAGUUGCCGCUGCUCACAGCUGCAACCUGUAACUAGGGUUAAUCGAAGGAAGAGAUUGUUGCUAUAAGAAUACAUACAACUUUUCGAGGAUACUUUGUAGGAUGUCUAACUUUUGGUGUAAUUUAAGCUUGCAUAACAUGAUCAUAUAUUUGGUCUUUUUGACUUCAACCUUGAUUAGUUGGUUCCAUUUCUAUAUUGGCUAGAGGGUUUUCUUAUUCCUUUCCAUUAUUUCUCUACUUUCAUUACUUAUCUUCUUCCUUGGUCUUGUCUAUAGACUUACCGGGAGGUUGAAUGAUGUUGCUUUAUUUGGUGAUUAGUUUAGCGUAGUCCAAAAAUGGCAAAAAAUGCUCAGUAUAAAGUCACCUCUUAAAGGGGAACCUCCAAAUUGCAAUAUUUUCAGUAUAGAGUCAUCAUAAUUUAGCAACAUUAUUAAUAAA
This is a long non-coding RNA of Capsicum annuum, 874 nucleotides long. RefSeq lists it as uncharacterized. The record is from RefSeq and is a predicted model, not a curated record. The transcript has 3 exons. NCBI's taxonomy places the organism in Eukaryota, Viridiplantae, Streptophyta, Magnoliopsida, Solanales, Solanaceae.